This 503-nucleotide ribosomal RNA is filed under the name uncultured bacterium. RNAcentral's name for it is "bacterial SSU rRNA". It matches the Rfam family "Bacterial small subunit ribosomal RNA", at positions 29 to 523 of the family's 1533-position model. The record is from RNAcentral.
AUUGAACGCUGGCGGCGUGCCUAACACAUGCAAGUCGAGCGGUAACAGGUGUAGCAAUACAUGCUGACGAGCGGCGGACGGGUGAGUAACGCUUGGGAAUCUGCCUAUUAGUGGGGGACAACCCGGGGAAACUCGGGCUAAUACCGCAUACGCUCUACGGAGGAAAGCCGGGGACCGCAAGGCCUGGCGCUAAUAGAUGAGCCCAAGUCGGAUUAGCUAGUUGGUAGGGUAAGGCCUACCAAGGCGACGAUCCGUAACUGGUCUGAGAGGACGACCAGUCACACCGGAACUGAGACACGGUCCGGACUCCUACGGGAGGCAGCAGUGGGGAAUAUUGGACAAUGGGCGAAAGCCUGAUCCAGCGACGCCGCGUGGGUAGAAGAAGGCCUGCGGGUUGUAAAGCCCUUUCAGUGGGGAAGAAAAGCCUCGACCUAACACGUCGGGGUCUUGACGUAACCCACUAGAAGAANCACCGGCUAACUCUGUGCCAGCCGCCGCGUAAG